This 496-nucleotide ribosomal RNA is filed under the name uncultured bacterium. Its description in RNAcentral is "partial 16S ribosomal RNA". It matches the Rfam family "Bacterial small subunit ribosomal RNA", at positions 29 to 507 of the family's 1533-position model. The record is from RNAcentral.
AUGAACGCUGGCGGCGUGCCUAAUACAUGCCAGUCGAGCGAACAGACGAGGAGCUUGCUCCUCUGACGUUAGCGGCGGACGGGUGAGUAACACGUGGAUAACCUACCUAUAAGCCUGGGAUAACUUCGGGAAACCGGAGCUAAUACCGGAUAAUAUAUUUAACCGCAUGGUUCAAUAGUGAAAGACGGUUUUGCUGUCACUUAUAGAUGGAUCCGCGCCGCAUUAGCUAGUUGGUAAGGUAACGGCUUACCAAGGCAACGAUGCGUAGCCGACCUGAGAGGGUGAUCGGCCACACUGGAACUGAGACACGGCCCAGACUCCUACGGGAGGCAGCAGUAGGGACUCUUCCGCAAUGGGCGAAAGCCUGACGGAGCAACGCCGCGUGAGUGAUGAAGGUCUUCCGAUCGUAAAACUCUGUUAUUAGGGAAGAACAAAUGUGUAAGUAACUAUGCACGUCUUGACGGUACCUAAUCAGAAAGCCACGGCUAACUACGUG